RNAcentral lists this transfer RNA (77 nucleotides) under Candidatus Woesebacteria bacterium. Its description in RNAcentral is "tRNA-Ile". The record is from RNAcentral. Lineage: Bacteria; Candidatus Woeseibacteriota.
GGGUGUAUAGCUCAGAUGGUUAGAGCGCAGUCCUGAUAAGACUGAGGUCCUACGUUCGAUUCGUAGUACACCCACCA